RNAcentral lists this ribosomal RNA (417 nucleotides) under Bunodosoma grande. RNAcentral's name for it is "partial 16S ribosomal RNA". It matches the Rfam family "Bacterial large subunit ribosomal RNA", at positions 1974 to 2440 of the family's 2925-position model. The record is from RNAcentral. Lineage: Eukaryota; Metazoa; Cnidaria; Anthozoa; Actiniaria; Actiniidae.
AAUUAAUUGUUGGCCGGUAUGAAUGGCGUCACGAAGGCCCCACUGUCUUAAGAGGACUCUCCAUGAAAUUGAAUUCGUAGUGAAGAUGCUACGUCCAUAUUGUAAGACGAAAAGACCCCAUUGAGCUUUACUAAAGACUUGCAUGGCUCAAAAUAAUUURAUUUAAAUAAAGAGUUUAGAUAAUGUGGGAUCCGUUUCCGGUUAAUGAAACACCACUCUUUUAUUUUAAGAGAGCUAACAUURCAGGGAUAAUGUAAGUUGGAUAGUUUGGUUGGGGCGACCACCUUUUAAAAGGUAACGAAGGUGAGCUUAAGGUCCGUAGUUAAUAGCCGGUGGCCUGACUGCAAGGGGGACGUCUCGAGCAGACACGUCCUUAGGGAUGUGGACUAUAGUGACCCGUCAUCUUAGUGUGGAAUA